RNAcentral lists this ribosomal RNA (490 nucleotides) under uncultured bacterium. Its description in RNAcentral is "partial 16S ribosomal RNA". It matches the Rfam family "Bacterial small subunit ribosomal RNA", at positions 29 to 507 of the family's 1533-position model. The record is from RNAcentral.
AAUGAACGCUGGCGGCAUGCCUUACACAUGCCAGUCGAACGGCAUCAUGACCUAGCUUGCUAGGUUGAUGGCGAGUGGCGAACGGGUGAGUAAUGCAUCGGAACGUGCCUUUUAGUGGGGGAUAACGUAGCGAAAGUUACGCUAAUACCGCAUAUUCUCUGAGGAGGAAAGCAGGGGGCCUUCGGGCCUUGCGCUAGAAGAGCGGCCGAUGUCGGAUUAGCUAGUUGGUGAGGUAAAGGCUCACCAAGGCAACGAUCCGUAGCGGGCCUGAGAGGGUGAUCCGCCACACUGGGACUGAGACACGGCCCAGACUCCUACGGGAGGCAGCAGUGGGGAAUUUUGGACAAUGGGCGCAAGCCUGACCCAGCCAUGCCGCGUGAGUGAAGAAGGCCUUCGGGUUGUAAAGCUCUUUCAGCUGGGAAGAAAUCGCACUCACUAAUCCAGGGUGUGGAUGACGGUACCAGCAUAGGAAGCACCGGCUAACUACGUG